Astatotilapia calliptera (eastern happy) is the source of this 1879-nucleotide long non-coding RNA. The record is from Ensembl. Lineage: Eukaryota; Metazoa; Chordata; Actinopteri; Cichliformes; Cichlidae.
GCUAGGGCGAGGGAAUGAGGCCUGAGAUCCGGGGUGGAGCUGAGCAGGGAACAGUCACACUGAAGAGAGAAGAUAGAGGAGUUAGGGAGGUAGUGGAGGCAGCUCUGAAGUGGCCAGUUGUAAGAGUAGCAAUUCUUACUUGCAGUAGGGGACAUGGAGUGUUGAGAGGGGGGUGAUGAGAAUCCAGGGGAGGCUGAGUGGCGUGGAAAGGCUGGCCUGAGAUCCGGGGCUUCAGAUGGAGAAGGGCAGGCAGGUGAGUAGUGAUGUGACGUUCUGUAUCGAGGCUUCAAAGCCUGUGUCGAGUAAUGGAGGGGGCGUUUCCGCGAAGCGCGUAUCGAGGCUUGCUUCAUUUAUGGGAGGAGCUGAAAAUGAUGACGUCCGAAGCCUCGCUGCCCGGCUGUACCACGUGACUGGUUCAGGAAGCGGUUCGAACUUUGCUGCGAGAUAUGACAGCGAUAUAAACCCCCCAGACUUCAUUCAAAAUGCGGGUGUUUGAUGGAGAGUUGCGGUUAGUGAGAGUUACAGACAGUUUGGAGAGAGUUAGAGACAGUUUGGAGAGAGGUUGGAGGUUUAGGAGAGUGAGGAGAGAAAGUCAGGAGAGAAUGGAGCCAGCUACGAAGAGAAGGAUGUCCUCCCCUGUGUGGGAACAUUUUGAUCUUAUUCCUCCCAACAAGGUAUGUAAAGUUCCACAGAAGAUGUAUUUUCAUAAUACUGAUGGUGCAAUAAAACCUAUGUUAAGCUGUCUGUACUUUUGUACAAGGUGAAGUGUUUGCUAUGUGCCAGGGAGCUGGGAUAUAACAACAACACCUCAUCCAUGCUUAGUCACUACAGAGCUUUGCAUGAGAAUAAGGGGAACACCGAUUGUGGAGCAAGACCAGGAGAACAAUCUCAAAUAGAUGAAGACCUGGUUAGCAUGGUGAUUGAGGACUCCCAGCCAUUUAGCAUUGUGGAGGACAAAGGAUUCAAAAGAUUUGUUAAAUCAUUAAAUCCUAGCUAUGUUCUCCCCACUAAAAGGUCAUAAAAGCAGUGAAAAUUUAGUUUUUACAGAAUAAAAUGUGAACAGGCAGGACUGAGGCUCAAAGCCUCAGUGUGUAGCUGUCCAUACCUCAACGUUACAAAAGCACAACCACUGUCCACACCCCAACCACACCUCACCUCACAGUAAAUGAUCAUUUCCAUUUCAAGCAUUUCCAAAUGAUCAUUUUCCAUACUGCCAGUAUAAAUAUACACAGUAUACUGCAUCACUACAAUAUACAUGUUUUACACACUCCUUUUGUUGUUGACAUUUACAGGCUGUGUGCAAAAGGCCACACUCUUCAAAUUCAUGCCAACUACUAUUUUUACGUCCAGUAGGUGUCCUACUAGAGCAAAUGAAGCUUCAAGAAGCUUUGCACUGGAGUGAACCAAUUGGAUGAAAAGCUUCAGUGCUUCAUGAAGCUUCAUCUGCCCAUCACUACCGGUGAGGCACAGAGAGAUUUUCAGAAUGAUUGCUUGGUAUCCUGAGUCCGGAGGUGGAGCGUGAGCCAAGGUGAAUACAGCAACUGCAGCACAAGAGAGUCGUGUUAACAAGAUCGAUCACAGCAAGAACUUGAAGCAUAAGGCCUGUUACCAACAUGUGUUGAUGACGAACUGGCAGUGAAUGAACAUCAACGUGUGGUUUAAAUCCCUCAGGCUUGAUUGCCUGCAAUAGGCUCCAGUGUGCAGGAGCUGGCCCUGCCCAGGGGCGGAUCCCAGGCUGCAGGAAGCAGCCAGCUGAUGACAAACAGCCGCACUAGCCAGAGCCCAAGAAAACUGGAGAUCAAGCCAGCCACCCGAGAGGAAAGAGAGAGGGAAGGAGACACAGAGAGGAAGCAGAGGAAGGAAAGAAGGAGAACAAACC